GAUGAACGCUAGCGAUAGGCUUAACACAUGCAAGUCGAGGGGCAGCAUGGUCUUAGCUUGCUAAGACUGAUGGCGACCGGCGCACGGGUGCGUAACGCGUAUGCAACUUGCCUCACAGAGGGGGAUAACCCGUCGAAAGACGGACUAAUACCGCGUACACUUGGGAUAGGGCAUCCUGACCCAAGGAAAUGAAAUUCGCUGUGAGAUAGGCAUGCGUCCCAUUAGCUAGUUGGUGAGGUAACGGCUCACCAAGGCGACGAUGGGUAGGGGAACUGAGAGGUUGAACCCCCACACUGGUACUGAGACACGGACCAGACUCCUACGGGAGGCAGCAGUGAGGAAUAUUAGUAAAUGGGCGAGAGCCUGAACCAGCCAAGUCGCGUGAAGGACGACUGUCUUAUGGAUUGUAAACUUCUUUUAUACGGGAAUAACAAGAGUCACGUGUGGCUCCCUGCAUGUACCGUAUGAAUAAGCAUCGGCUAACUCCGUG
This 490-nucleotide ribosomal RNA is filed under the name uncultured bacterium. RNAcentral's name for it is "partial 16S ribosomal RNA". It matches the Rfam family "Bacterial small subunit ribosomal RNA", at positions 28 to 507 of the family's 1533-position model. The record is from RNAcentral.